Molecule: ribosomal RNA, 301 nt
Filed under: uncultured bacterium
Lineage: Bacteria
Description: partial 16S ribosomal RNA
Rfam family: Bacterial small subunit ribosomal RNA
Source: RNAcentral
CAGUAGCCGCGGUAAUACGUAGGUGGCAAGCGUUGUCCGGAAUUAUUGGGCGUAAAGGGCUCGCGGGCGGUUUCUUAAGUCUGAUGUGAAAGCCCCCGGCUCAACCGGGGAGGGUCAUUGGAAACUGGGAAACUUGAGUGCAGAAGAGGAGAGUGGAAUUCCACGUGUAGCGGUGAAAUGCGUAGAGAUGUGGAGGAACACCAGUGGCGAAGGCGACUCUCUGGUCUGUAACUGACGCUGAGGAGCGAAAGCGUGGGGAGCGAACAGGAUUAGAUACCCCAGUAGUCCCUGUCUCUUAUAC